UGGGGAAUUUUGCGCAAUGGGCGAAAGCCUGACGCAGCGACGCCGCGUGUACGAUGAAGGCCUUUGGGUCGUAAAGUACUGUCAACGGGGACGAACGCCUCAGAUUGAAUAGGUCUGAGGUCUGACGGUACCCGUGGAGGAAGCACCGGCUAACUCUGUGCCAGCAGCCGCGGUAAUACGGAGGGUGCAAGCGUUGUCCGGAUUUAUUGGGUUUAAAGGGUGCGUAGGCGGGUAUUUAAGUCAGUGGUGAAAUCCCUGAGCUCAACUGAGGAAUUGCCAUUGAUACUGGAUAUCUUGAUUACCGUAUAGGUAGGCGGAAUUUAUGGUGUAGCGGUGAAAUGCAUAGAUACCAUAAAGAACACCGAUAGCGAAGGCAGCUUACUGGACGUGUAAUGACGCUGAUGCACGAAAGCGUGGGUAGCGAACGGGAUUAGAUACCCCUGUAGUCC
RNAcentral lists this ribosomal RNA (449 nucleotides) under uncultured prokaryote. RNAcentral's name for it is "bacterial SSU rRNA". It matches the Rfam family "Bacterial small subunit ribosomal RNA", at positions 355 to 796 of the family's 1533-position model. The record is from RNAcentral.